Long non-coding RNA from Populus trichocarpa (black cottonwood), 3525 nucleotides. RefSeq lists it as uncharacterized. The record is from RefSeq and is a predicted model, not a curated record. NCBI's taxonomy places the organism in Eukaryota, Viridiplantae, Streptophyta, Magnoliopsida, Malpighiales, Salicaceae. The transcript has 3 exons.
UUGAUGUUUUUUUUCCUAUAUUUAUUGGUUUUUUUCAUGUUUGUUAUGAGUUACAAUGAAUGCUUUAUGAUUUGGGAGGGAUGGAAGCUUGUUUAUUUUGGGCUGGCCAUGGGAAAGCAUUGGGGAAAAAUGGAAAAUUUAUUUAAAUUUAUAAUAUUGUAUAGUUAUUAAAAUUAUAGGUAUGAGUAAAUUUUGUUUAGAAAGGAAUUUUAAUUUGUAUACGCGAUGUGAUUUACAUAUUGUAUAUGGGUGUUUGAAAGAAAUAGGUGAAUGUGAUUUUAUGUGAGUUAGUCCCCAAGGGGCGUAGCGUGAUGGCAAAGGGUUUGAGGUCUGCACAGCAGGUCUCGAGUUCGAGUCAAGGCGUGCACCUCUUGUACGAGCCUGGGACAACCAGGAUUUUACUCGCUCACCUGAGCCCACAAAGUGCGCUUUCCAGGAGGUUCACAAAGAUGGAAGCUAAAUGAACAAUAACGUCAGCAAUAAAAAUGUUGAUGUAAGUGUCUUUAUUUCAAUGAAGCAAGCUUAGAGAUCAACCAAAUUGGAUGACUGUGGUUGAGGCUUGGUGGGAAGAUUUAAGGCUACACAACUUGGACGCAAACCAACUGUAAUGGAGUUAUAUAUGAAAACACAUGUGGAGAGAGGAUAAACAAAAAAGAGGAUGCAACAGUUCGUGGAUAACUAAGCUAAGGUGUUUAUUGUAAGUAAAAUUCAAGACCUUUUGUAUACUUUUGGACUAAUGUUUUUUUUUUUUGUCAAUAUUUUUUACCGACGAUCAGUUCAUCGGUGCUUCAUCAGGUAAUAUUUACCAACAAAUAGGCUGACUGAAAAAUGGCCGGUGCCUAUUUAUAUCCCUAACAUGAAUAUUAUAUUGCUUUAUCCAUUAGCAUUGAAGUCAUCGACUGAAUUAGUGAAGGAUUUUAAAUCCUUGAUGAGAUAAUCACUGACGACACUUUUCCAUAAAUAAAUUCGUCGGUGAUUUUUAUACCGACCAAAAUAUAACUUUUACACCAGUGAAAUAUUUGAAGAUCAUCCACAACACGUCGACCAUCAUGUAACAACUUUCAACCCUAAUAUGAUGCAAAUAUAAAUUAUUAAUCCAUAAAUAAAAUGUAACGGUUUUUUUGAAACCUAUAAAAAGUAACAAAUACUUGUAACAUUUUGAAUCCAACGUGCAUGUGGCUCAUUCUCCAUCUCCUCGCAUGGAGGAACUUGCACUGGGUUUGGUGUAAUGAUUUAGCGUGUUAUACUCAGGAGCCAACCCAUGUAUUCCUCCUAAGAAAUUACAAGAUGCAUUUCUCUAAAAAUAAAAUCUCUUCAUGCAUUCCAUAUCAAUAUUUACUAGAGAUGGUAGAUUAUCCAAUUACAAUCAGCGUGCUUACCCAAACGACUAAUGGAAUACAACUGAUCGCUCGUAUCUAUGUCAGAUGGGAUGUAUUGCUUAAAGCCAAAUUGUUGCAUUACACGGUUCGGAAAAUACAUCUCAACAAGCUUAAAAAAUAAGAGGGGACAACUGAUGUCCAUAGUCAAUUUGAAUAUAACAAGAGCAACUUUCAUAUCAUAUUUUGAAUAAGGAUUCUACACAACCAAUUGAAACAUCAACAAUGCAAUUAUUUCCAUCAUUUACCAACAUCAACCCAUGCACUUAUUUUUCAUCAUUUACCAACAUCAACCUAUGCAAUAAUUUCUUAACAUUUAUCAAUGUAAAAAAAAAUUAAAUAUCAACACAAAUAACAAUAUUAGGCCUCGUUUGUUUGCUGGAAAGUAGUUUCUUUUUGGAAAGUAAAUUCUGGGAAAGUGAAUUAGUUUCCGAUGUUUGGUAGUGUGAUGGAAAAUAAGUUGAAAAACACUUUUCAAUGUUUGGUUAUGUCAUGGAAAAUAAGCUGGAAAAUAACUUAUUAAUGUUUUAUUUUUUUUUCAAGUUUAUUAAAAUAAUGAGGAACAAAUCUUACAAAUUAAAAGGUUGAAUGAGAAUGAAAUUGAAAAAAAAUAUAAUUUUAUAAAUUAUCUCAAAUAAAAUAAAUGAUAAUCAAAACAAUAGAAAUCAAAUCUAAAAAAUAAAAAAAAAUAAAAGAUGAAGAAAUUAAAAUAAUAAUAAUUAACAUUUCAUAAAUUAUUUCAAAUAAAAUAAGUAACAAUUAAAAAAUGAGGACCAAAUUUGAUAAAUAAAAAAUUUCAAUUAAAAAAUGAUAAGGGAAAAGCAAAAUAAAAAUAAGGACCAAAGUUAAUAUAAAAAUUAAAUUCUAAGGGAUGAAAUUGAAAAAAAAAAUAUUCAAAAAAAAUAUAUAGUAAUCAAAAGUUUGAGGACCAAAUUUGAUAUAAUUAGCAAAUAAUAUGAUAUUUUUAAAUUUUUCAUAACUUCCGGAAAGUGUUUUUCGCCAAAAAUAAAAGGAAAUUACUUUCCUGGAAAUCAAGCCAAAUUUUCCUUGACUGGAAAGUGUUUUCCGUUGAUCAACUUUUCUAAUAGCAAACAAACACAGGAAAGUUUGGAAAGUGAUUUCUUGGAAACCACUUUCCGGGAAACAAACGCACCCUUAGUAUACUAUUAUUCAUAUCAGGGACAAUAACACCACCAUAAUGACACAACAUAAACAAGUUUGAAGAUAUAUUUUUUAAAAUAAAAAUACUCAUUUCACGAAAAAUAAAUUAUCUCACAAUUCAAUGCAAACCCUAAUUGCUAUUACUUUGGCCAUAAUAAUAGCAAUAAAAAAUAAUUAAUUGCAUCAAUUAAAAAGUAAAUGAUCUUAAUUGAACAAAAUCUUCAAUUACGAUAAUUUUUACAAAAAGUUCAAAGUAAACUCUAGACGCUAUGAUUUCGACCAUAACGUUAUUAAUAACAUCAAUUGAUUAAAAAUCUAUCUAAUAACAUCAAUUACAACAAAAUUUAUAUCAAUUCAAACAAUAUAAUAAAAUAUGACAAGUAACUCAAUAAUCAAUUUAAACCCUAAUUUCUCUAAUCCAAACACAUAAUUGCAAUAUUCAUAACCUAAAAUUAUCUAAUUAUCAAACACAACACAAAUACCUAAUUAAAUCAAAACAUAAAAUUUACCAAUUCAAUAAUAAAACUCGUCAAACUAAGAGACAAUAUAAAUGUUUUACCUUGAUUUUUUUUUAUGUCUAGUUGGUUGUUUCACCGGUUGUGGUAGCGGGGAGGCUGUCAUUGAAAGCUUUGGUAAACGGUUUGCCAAUGUUUAUUUGUUUUCUUUUCUUUCCUGCUUUAAUCAUUAUGUUUGCCAAUGUUUAUUUGUUUUCUUUCUUCUCUUUUUUGCUUUCAUUAUUAUGUCUGCCAAUGUUCUUUUAUUUUCUCCUCUUCUUUUCUUAUCUUAUCUUUUUUGCUUUCUUUCUGUAUUGUUAAAAUGGCUUCGUCUACAAAUAUCUGAUGGAAAGUAAAGGCCCUACGAAUAGCUAUGGUCCUUCAAUAUUCCAAGUUGAUUAGAUGGUCCUCCAUGCGCGCAUUGUGGAAAGUAAAGCCUCUGAUUUAAGCAUUUCUCUGUCAUUGUGGAAAGCAAAGCCCGAUACAUGACAAUA